RNAcentral lists this ribosomal RNA (99 nucleotides) under uncultured bacterium. Its description in RNAcentral is "partial 16S ribosomal RNA". It matches the Rfam family "Bacterial small subunit ribosomal RNA", at positions 1384 to 1482 of the family's 1533-position model. The record is from RNAcentral.
UACACACCGCCCGUCACACCAUGGAAGUUGGUUGCACCAGAGGUAGGUAGCCUAACCGCAAGGAGGGCGCUUACCACGGUGUGGCCAAUGACUGGGGUG